This 73-nucleotide transfer RNA is filed under the name Rhipicephalus microplus (southern cattle tick). Its description in RNAcentral is "tRNA-Val". It matches the Rfam family "tRNA". From Rfam's summary of the family: Transfer RNA (tRNA) molecules are approximately 80 nucleotides in length. Their secondary structure includes four short double-helical elements and three loops (D, anti-codon, and T loops). Lineage: Eukaryota; Metazoa; Arthropoda; Arachnida; Ixodida; Ixodidae. The record is from Rfam by way of RNAcentral. RNAcentral also lists the same sequence under 3 other names.
GUGCCCGUGGUGUAGUGGUUAUCACAUCCGCCUAACACGCGGAAGGUCCCAGGUUCGAUCCCUGGCGGGCACA